CCUCCAGGAACAUAUGCCGAGGAUAGUCUUUAUGAGUUUAUACGUGAAAUAGCUUCUAAGAGCUUAUACUUGAGAUAGCCAGCAUGGGCUUACAUAUGAGAAUUUCAUUAGAUAUAGAUUGAAGAAUGAUUUUGGUUAAUCCAAAAUCGAAAGUAAAAGAUUAUGAAAUCUAAAAUUAUGAUAAGAGAAACAGAUGGCA
Molecule: long non-coding RNA, 199 nt
Filed under: Elaeis guineensis (African oil palm)
Lineage: Eukaryota; Viridiplantae; Streptophyta; Magnoliopsida; Arecales; Arecaceae
Description: long non-coding RNA (EGUI_LNC001763)
Source: RNAcentral